This 489-nucleotide long non-coding RNA is filed under the name Chrysemys picta bellii (western painted turtle). RNAcentral's name for it is "lncRNA (ENSCPBG00000002448.1)". Lineage: Eukaryota; Metazoa; Chordata; Testudines; Emydidae. The record is from RNAcentral.
UAUGAGCAAUCUUUUAAAGUUCCCAAAGUGCCAAGGAAGCCACAAGAGAUCGAAGUGACUUCUGUAGCUAGAAGGAAAGAAGUUCAUGAAAAGGAGGAAAUAUAUGAAGAAAGAGAAGAGGUUUAUGAACAAAAAGAAGAAAUUUAUGAACAAAAAGAACCUUAUGAAGAAUGGGAAGAAGAUUAUGGAGAACAGGAAUAUUAUGAAAGGGAAGAAGGUUAUGAAGAAGGGGAAGAGGAAUGGGAAACUUAUGAAGAAAAACAAGUUUAUCAUGAAGAAGUGAUUGGAGUUCCUCAGAAGCCCAUGCCUGAGCAUAUAACGCCAGCAAUUACAGCUGAAAAGAAAGAAAAGAAAGAAGUGACCAUACAUAAAGUUGUUAGGAAACCUGUAGCUGAAGAAGUUGAGGUAACCACUCAAAGGCUUGAGGAGGAAGAACUCAGACUGCCUAAAGGUACUGGUACCUACUGCAUGAUGUUAAUGCCACUAUGA